RNAcentral lists this non-coding RNA (148 nucleotides) under Pan troglodytes (chimpanzee). Lineage: Eukaryota; Metazoa; Chordata; Mammalia; Primates; Hominidae. The record is from Rfam by way of RNAcentral.
GCCGGGCGUGGCGGCCUGUGCCUGUAAUCCCAGGUACUCAGGAGGCUGAGGCAGGAGAAUUGCUUGAACCCGGGAGGCAGAGGUUGCAGUGAGCCGAGAUUGUGCCACUGCACUCCAGCCUGGGUGACAGAGCGAGACUCAGUCUCUA